CAGUCGCCGCGGUAAUACGAAGGGGGCUAGCGUUGCUCGAAAUUACUGGGCGUAAAGGGCGCGUAGGCGGCGCUCCAAGUUAGGCGUGAAAUUCCCGGGCUCAACCUGGGGACUGCGCUUAAGACUGGAGUGCUUGAGGAUGGAAGAGGGUUGUGGAAUUCCCAGUGUAGAGGUGAAAUUCGUAGAUAUUGGGAAGAACACCGGUGGCGAAGGCGGCAACCUGGUCCAUUACUGACGCUGAGGCGCGAUAGCGUGGGGAGCAAACAGGAUUAGAUACCCCUGUAGUCCCUGUUUCUUAUAA
Molecule: ribosomal RNA, 301 nt
Filed under: uncultured bacterium
Lineage: Bacteria
Description: partial 16S ribosomal RNA
Rfam family: Bacterial small subunit ribosomal RNA
Source: RNAcentral